Molecule: ribosomal RNA, 459 nt
Filed under: uncultured bacterium
Lineage: Bacteria
Description: partial 16S ribosomal RNA
Rfam family: Bacterial small subunit ribosomal RNA
Source: RNAcentral
CCUACGGGAGGCAGCAGUGAGGAAUAUUGGUCAAUGGGCGGGAGCCUGAACCAGCCAAGUCGCGUGAAGGAAGAAGGUACUUAGUAUUGUAAACUUCUUUUGUCGGGGAACAAAGGCGGAGACGCGUCUCCGGAUGAGUGUACCCGAAGAAAAAGCAUCGGCUAACUCCGUGCCAGCAGCCGCGGUAAUACGGAGGAUGCGAGCGUUAUCCGGAUUUAUUGGGUUUAAAGGGUGCGUAGGCGGGCUGUUAAGUCAGCGGUCAAAUGUCGGGGCUCAACCCCGGCCUGCCGUUGAAACUGGCGGCCUCGAGUGGGCGAGAAGUAUGCGGAAUGCGUGGUGUAGCGGUGAAAUGCAUAGAUAUCACGCAGAACUCCGAUUGCGAAGGCAGCAUACCGGCGCCCGACUGACGCUGAGGCACGAAAGCGUGGGUAUCAAACAGGAUUAGAUACCCGGGUAGUC